CCUACGGGGGGCAGCAGUGGGGAAUAUUGGACAAUGGGCGAAAGCCUGAUCCAACCAUGCCGCGUGUGUGAAGAAGGCCUUCGGGUUGUAAAGCACUUUCAGUGGGGAAGAAAGCCUUGGGGCUAAUACCCUCGAGGAAGGACAUCACCCACAGAAGAAGCACCGGCUAACUCCGUGCCAGCAGCCGCGGUAAUACGGAGGGUGCGAGCGUUAAUCGGAAUUACUGGGCGUAAAGCGCGCGUAGGCGGUCUGAUAAGCCGGUUGUGAAAGCCCCGGGCUCAACCUGGGAACGGCAUCCGGAACUGUCAGGCUAGAGUGCAGGAGAGGAAGGUAGAAUUCCCGGUGUAGCGGUGAAAUGCGUAGAGAUCGGGAGGAAUACCAGUGGCGAAGGCGGCCUUCUGGACUGACACUGACGCUGAGGUGCGAAAGCGUGGGUAGCAAACAGGAUUAGAUACCCUAGUAGU
Molecule: ribosomal RNA, 464 nt
Filed under: Vreelandella stevensii
Lineage: Bacteria; Pseudomonadati; Pseudomonadota; Gammaproteobacteria; Oceanospirillales; Halomonadaceae
Description: partial 16S ribosomal RNA
Rfam family: Bacterial small subunit ribosomal RNA
Source: RNAcentral